Molecule: long non-coding RNA, 310 nt
Filed under: Homo sapiens (human)
Lineage: Eukaryota; Metazoa; Chordata; Mammalia; Primates; Hominidae
Description: non-protein coding lnc-RAB2A-6:1
Source: RNAcentral
CCAGAACCUGGAAUACAAGGAGUCAGAAUCCCAGUGGAGAAACUUCUCCAGUGUGAAGAGGUAGGGUGUGGGGCCUUGCUGUGACCUCACGUUGUGUGGUUUGGAGAAAACCUGGAACCUACCAUUCUGAAAGUUUGCCCUCUGUGACUGAACACCUCGCCCUAUGCGACUUACGUUUAGUGGUGGGCAAUUCCUCUAUGGUGUACCUGGCAGCCAUGUUUACCGCCAUGUAUCCGCCAUGGGCAUUCCAGGGGCUGACUUUAACACAGACACCACCCCAGCCACUAACGUAUUCAGAUUUCAUUUCCAG